UUUAUAUGAAGGAGAUACAAGCGCUCAAAGUUAAGGUUUUGAUUUGGGAGCUACUGUCACUCUUUUUGGCAUAACACACGAGUACAGAUAGCAAUUGAGGAUCGGCAACUGCUACUGGAGAGAACACUUUUGCGGCUACACUUUUGAUAUACUUUUUAUUGGAUUCCAAGUUAUAGUGAAGGAGUUAUUGGAUUUUGAAGUCAGAAUAUGCAAUCUAAGGGUAGUAAGUAAUCCGAUUUGCUAGUGGUUAUCUCUUGAGCUAUAUCUUAAGCAAUUUGACAAG
Molecule: long non-coding RNA, 283 nt
Filed under: Physcomitrium patens
Lineage: Eukaryota; Viridiplantae; Streptophyta; Bryopsida; Funariales; Funariaceae
Description: long non-coding RNA (PPAT_LNC001375)
Source: RNAcentral